RNAcentral lists this long non-coding RNA (838 nucleotides) under Linum usitatissimum (flax). RNAcentral's name for it is "long non-coding RNA (LUSI_LNC003977)". The record is from RNAcentral. Lineage: Eukaryota; Viridiplantae; Streptophyta; Magnoliopsida; Malpighiales; Linaceae.
UAAUAUGAUAAUUUAUGAUCCCAAAUUUCAUCUCGUAUGAAUAUUAUAAAUAUUAUGGAUACCAAUAACCCUAAAAACGGAACGGUUAUGAAUAUACCCAAAUAUCCGCUACUAAGAUAGAUGGCCUAAGAAGCAAGCUAGUAAAAGACAGAUCCAAACCCUAGGUAGCUGAAUAAAAAAAUCCCAGAAAAUAAAAUCAGAACUUCAUCAAACAAAGAUAUGAUAAGAAGAUAAAACUUAAUUCAUGGGCUGAAAUUAAAUACGAAUACAAGGACAUCUUAUCAAGGGUACAACAGCCAUAUGUUAUUCUAUCGAAAUAUAUAAGCACCCGUACGCCUAAACAACCUGCAACAUGUAUAUAUACUAGCUAGCCAUAAGCCAUGCAUGCAUAUAUAAUACUAAAGCCUACUAGUACUAAUAUGAAAUAAACUCGCUAGUUUAGGGUUUCAAACAGGCCUGUAUAUAAUUAGGGUUUGUGUGUGUGUUUGUGUGUAUGCUAAUGCAGAAUUGAUUAAGCUGCUGGAGCAUAGUAUCCACCUCCAUCAUCAUCGUCAUCAUCAUCAUCGUCACCAUCACUUUCGCUGCUGAGAAGGUAGGUCCUGAAGGAAACAUCAUCUUCACGAUCUACAUGAUGAUGAUCUGCUGCAAACCCUAACAAGUGAAUAUUGGAGUACUUGACCAGAACUAACACCUCCAUAGGUAUAUUUGUCUAAGAAGUUAAUUAUCACUUCAAAGUGGGAGUGGGAGUGAUGAUCGAUCAGUAUGUUGUUGAUCAAUAUUUUGGUGAAGAAGUGAAUUAAGAAGAGGUUUUGAUGAAGGAAAGGGUACAAUAAGUGAG